GGCUCAGGACGAACGCUGGCGGCGUGCUUAACACAUGCAAGUCGAACGAUGAUGCCCAGCUUGCUGGGUGGAUUAGUGGCGAACGGGUGAGUAACACGUGAGUAACCUGCCCCUGACUCUGGGAUAAGCGUUGGAAACGACGUCUAAUACUGGAUAUGAUCACUGGCCGCAUGGUCUGGUGGUGGAAAGAUUUUUUGGUUGGGGAUGGACUCGCGGCCUAUCAGCUUGUUGGUGAGGUAAUGGCUCACCAAGGCGACGACGGGUAGCCGGCCUGAGAGGGUGACCGGCCACACUGGGACUGAGACACGGCCCAGACUCCUACGGGAGGCAGCAGUGGGGAAUAUUGCACAAUGGGCGAAAGCCUGAUGCAGCAACGCCGCGUGAGGGAUGACGGCCUUCGGGUUGUAAACCUCUUUUAGUAGGGAAGAAGCGAAA
This 435-nucleotide ribosomal RNA is filed under the name Microbacteriaceae bacterium AFLP226. Its description in RNAcentral is "bacterial SSU rRNA". It matches the Rfam family "Bacterial small subunit ribosomal RNA", at positions 21 to 455 of the family's 1533-position model. The record is from RNAcentral. Lineage: Bacteria; Bacillati; Actinomycetota; Actinomycetes; Micrococcales; Microbacteriaceae.